AUACGGAGGGUGCAAGCGUUACUCGGAAUCACUGGGCGUAAAGCGCGCGCAGGCGGUCUUUUAAGUUGGAUGUGAAAGCCUACGGCUCAACCGUAGAACUGCAUCCAAAACUAUUAGACUAGAGUGUGGGAGAGGAAGAUGGAAUUAGUUGUGUAGGGGUAAAAUCCGUAGAGAUAACUAGGAAUACCAAAAGCGAAGGCAAUCUUCUGGAACACUACUGACGCUGAGGCGCGAAGGCGUGGGGAGCAAACAGGAGUAGAAACCCGAGUAGUCC
This 274-nucleotide ribosomal RNA is filed under the name uncultured bacterium. RNAcentral's name for it is "partial 16S ribosomal RNA". It matches the Rfam family "Bacterial small subunit ribosomal RNA", at positions 523 to 796 of the family's 1533-position model. The record is from RNAcentral.